This 440-nucleotide ribosomal RNA is filed under the name uncultured bacterium. RNAcentral's name for it is "partial 16S ribosomal RNA". It matches the Rfam family "Bacterial small subunit ribosomal RNA", at positions 338 to 795 of the family's 1533-position model. The record is from RNAcentral.
CCUACGGGAGGCAGCAGUAAGGGAUAUUGGUCAAUGGGGGCAACCCUGAACCAGCAACGCCGCGUGAGGGAAGACGGUUUUCGGAUUGUAAACCUCUGUCCUCUGUGAAGAUGAUGACGGUAGCAGAGGAGGAAGCUCCGGCUAACUACGUGCCCGCAGCCGCGGUCAUACGUAGGGAGCGAGCGUUGUCCGGAUUUACUGGGUGUAAAGGGUGCGUAGGCGGCGUGGCAAGUCAGUAGUGAAAUCCAUGGGCUUAACCCAUGAACUGCUAUUGAAACUGUCGAGCUUGAGGGAAGGAGAGGUAGGGGGAAUGUCCGGUGUAGCGGUGAAAUGCGUAGAGAUCGGGAGGAACACCAGUGGCGAAGGCGGCUUACUGGGCUUUAACUGACGCUGAGGCACGAAAGCGUGGGUAGCAAACAGGAUUAGAUACCCGGGUAGUC